Podarcis muralis (Common wall lizard) is the source of this 4461-nucleotide non-coding RNA. NCBI's taxonomy places the organism in Eukaryota, Metazoa, Chordata, Lepidosauria, Squamata, Lacertidae. The record is from RefSeq and is a predicted model, not a curated record.
UAGGUUGGCAGGAGCAGGGACCGAGCAACGGGAGCUCACCCCGUCGCGGGGAUUAUGGGACUUACACACUAGUAAAUGUGUUUUGCGUUGUUUCCCAACUGUACAACUUUUUAAACCUAGGAUUCUAGUUUACAUUCAUUCAUAGUCAUAAGACCUGUGUUAUGAGAAGACGUGCACUCAAAUUCUCUUUUUUGUAAUUUCCAAUGCAGGUUCUAACAUGGAGAAAAGCAGUUGUUCCAAAUAAUAGCCCAAUCCUAUAUGGAUUUAGGUAUACCUGAUUCCAUUGAAAUUAAUAGGUUUACAGUGCAAUCCUGCGUCUCAUAUAUCCUAUAUCCAUAAGUAUAUACAAAAAUGCAGCUUUAAGUGCUGGUAACAUUGCAGAGAAAUAGGAAAUAAGAAUAUAGUAUAUACCUAUGGCUGUUCCUUUUCAAAAUAUGAAUACACUUUUGCAUAGAAUACUGCUUUGCAUUCAGAACUUCACAAGUGCUCUUCCAAGAACCAUACAAAUUAAAAUUAGGACCCAUUUGUUUUUCUGGACAUUUCAAACAUCAUAGUAUUGGUGUUGCCAUUGUAAGAUAGUGCUCAACGUGGCUGACAGUACAUAAAUGAAGAACAAAAUCCUUCAGCAAUAAACACCAAUACAUAUCAAUAAUGCAAUCACAAUAUUAACCAUUUGGUUAAUAAGCUACAUUGUGAGUCAGCCAAACCUGACCAUCGCCAUCAAAUUAAACUGUUGUGUCCAUAUUUGCAACCUUUUUUUCUUUUUUGUAAUUUAGUGUUUUAUUGAUUUUUCAGAGUCAAUAAUACAGAAACAUUAAAUAAAGCUCUCUCUCUACAAAUAAAUAACAAUUACAUUCACCGUCUCCGGUGCCUCACUUUUAUUUUCAUUCACAGCAUCAAAUUAAAUAUAUAGAAAGCAAUUUCCUCUGAGAUAAUUAAUACAAAAAUAUAGUAAGACCCGUUGAACUCUCUUGCUGCUCAACAAAAAUCCACAGCAUUUCACUGUAUGUUAUUCUGUCUAAGAUUGCAGUCCUAACCCCACUUAUGUGGGUGUAAACCCCAUUGAAUUAAAUAUGACUUACCUCUGAGUAGACAUGGUUAGGUUUGUAAUCCUUAUAAACAAAAUUACAGCUGCUAUCUGAACCACUUCUCUCUCCCUACUGUUACAGAGUUCAGUGGGACCUAUUCUCAAGUAAGUGCACAUAGAACGAGACAGCAAUCCAUGACAUAGAUUUAAUUGAACUGGACUUUUAAGUAGCUAUAAGUAUUAUUUGUUCCAGGUUUGUUUGACUAGAAUUAACUUCCUGAGAGAGGUUAGAUAUUAUUUUUAAUGCAUGAAAUAUUUAUUGCACGCUUGUAUGAUAACCAGUAUACUAAUUUGGGUCUAUGUAUGUAGCAAACCUAUGGGCCAGGGAUUAUAUCACUUCAUUCUGUACUUCCUUUAGUAGAGAUGAGCUAAAGUUUGGAAUCAGAAUCUGCCAUCAACAUCUGACUUUUGGUUAAAUGACUGAGGGAAGUUAAUACAACAUUUUUCAUUUCUGUAGAAACCAUCAGACGCUGUCAAAUGUAAACUGCUAUUGCAUGCAACCUGUCAGAUGUUGAAUACUAUAUGUCAGAUACAGAAUUAUCAUCAUUAUUGUAUUUUCUACGUUUAUGUAUAAAAAUAGCAUAUUACAACAAACCAAUUUAAAAUACUACCCCUAAAAUGCAAACUAAACUAAUAGAAUAGAUACAGCAGUUAAAAACAGUAGCAUAAUCUGUUCUAGAAUUCAAGUCAGAAUUUAGUUCCCCUAAAAUCACCCAGAUAUAGUGUGCUCAGGGAGUCAUUCCAUGUGCAAAGGCACUCUUGUAUACAACUAAGGCCAGGUCUAAGGCCAGGCCCAGAGCAUCCCCAAGCUGUGACCCUGCAUUUUCAGAAGGUGUGCAACCCCUCCCAACACCAGUCAUCCAAACUGGAAUACUUCCUGCUGCCAGAAGGAACCCCUAUACUGCUUGGAUUGUUUCAGCUUGUUAGGUCUCAUCUGACCUGGUCUAGGGCAGCCUACGCACCAUACAAUUUAGGCACAUUUAAAAGCACAUGACUUCUAGUAAAGAAUCCUAAGAAUUAUAGUUUGUUAACAGUAGUGGGAAUUGUAAUUCCAUGAGAUAUAAACUACAGUUCCCAGUAGUAUUUGGGUGAAGAAGCCAUGUGUUUUAGAUGUAAAGUGUGUACUUAGUCUACACCCUUCUUGGGAUAAGUGUUAUGAGCAUACCAGGCUGGUAGCCAGAUUGAAGUAGGUAAUAAAUUCAGUUUUCUGCAGGAAAACCUGGAGCCGAGAUGCCAUCACCCACUGCAACACCUUACCUAAGAAAAGAUCAAGACUGAGCAGAAAAUUAGACCAGAAACAAUAGGAGAGAAUGAAGUAUGAGUGAAAGAAUCAAAGAGAUGAGUGCAAAAUGGGAAGAAGCACAAAAUUUUCUGUUUUGGAAAAAAUCACUACAACAGAACAUGGACGAAGAAUCCAAAAUAAAGCAAAAAUAAAAGCAUAAAGGUCAAACACUGGACAAGAGGUGCAAUCAGAUUAACAGGUGUUAAGUUAAAUAGAUAUUAUCAAAGGAGUUAUCAAAAGAGGAAGAUUAGAUUAUUUUGGGAAGGAGAGCAUGCAAAUAUUUGUCUCCCAAAUCAGAAAUCUCUAUAGACACUCCCACUGUUCUAAAUGGUCAUACAGAUUGCACAUUUUCUGAGAUGCAGUAGAGUACUUUUUCUAGUUGCACAAUUUCCAGCAUCACUGGCCUGAGAAGAGACUCCUGCCUAAAAUUCUCAAGAGUCACUGCCCGUCAGUGUAGACAGUACUGAGCUAAAUUAACCAAUGGUCUGACUUAGUAUAAGGCAGCUUCCUGUAUUCCUAGGGCUUUUCUACACCUUUAAGAGAGUAGAUCAAAGAUGCCAAGGGAUUUCAAGUUUAUGCCUAAAAAUGUAAGGUGUGUUGGUCCAUCAAACAGGCAUUUGAAAACACAUAAUAUAGGUGCACUUGUCAGAUAAAUACCUAAGUUUCACUAUGACUCCUUAUUGAGAGUACACCCAGUAGCAAACAUAUUUCCCAUAAGGUUUCUAGUUUGCAGAAGGCUGUAUUUCAAAGAACACUUUAUAUUUACCUUUAGAGAAAAACCUGUUGAUUGACGCUGAUGAAGCUGGUUCAGCAUUAAGAGAAGACGGCAACUCGUUUUCUUCUGGUGCCAGAUGACUUUGUUUCAUUUGGUUUUUCUUCUGUUACAACCACCUUGCCUUCUUCAAACUAUGUGUUUUAUCACCAGAUUCCAUUCUGAUGUCACAAAGCAGCCAGAUAUUCUCUUGUAAGCAUGUUUCUUUCUUUGGUUUUCACAAGAAGCCUUUGAAAAUCAAAAUACUGCAGGAUAGGUUGUAUAUAUCCCGAUAGACACAUUGGUGCACAAUGAAUUUUUAAAGGAUUAUGCUGGAUAUGCAAUUUUUUUUUGUAAACUUUGGGCACUGAAGUGUUCCAGGUGGAUUUCCCCACUAAUGCCACACAUGCAUUUAACAACGAAGGAAAGGAGGAAGAGAACAGGAGAAUAUCCCAGUGGGUGCAUAUCAUAAAGGCCUGUAUUCAGAGCACACUUUUGCUAGCUGUUCUUUUGUGAUACAGAUUCAUGAAUAUCAAAGGAUGGAGAGGUUUGUCCUGAACUCAAAGCCAAUUGGUAAAAUGUCUUUCAUUCUUUCUUUCUUUCUUUCUUUUGUGUUGAGCCUACAAAACAGGAAACCGAUUCUGCCACAUGCUCUACUAUUCUUAAAUGGCAUUCCCCUGAAAACAAAGAGCAAGAAAAGAUGUUUUCUAUUUCUAUUAUGUUCUCUUGAGGAGCUUGGAUGAGAGAACUUGAGCAUGUCUUGGUGGAAUUGGUUCUAUGACUUUUGGAGCACGGUGGAUAAAUGAAAAGGAUGCUCUGCAUCUGAUGGAACAAAUGAAUGCACUCAUUGAUGGAGUCGUGGCGGCAGGUUCAGUAUAUUUUGAAUGAAAGCUAAGUGCCCAUGGUUAGAAGCAGGACCAGAAACUGAGGCAAGCAAAAUGCACAACUGGCGAAGGACCAUGGGAAGAGAAUAUACAAUUGCACUGUGUUGCAUAGGAAAGUGCCUUGUACUGAGUCAGACCAUUGGUCCAUCUAAGUCAGUAUCGUCUAUAUUGACUGGCAGCAGUUUUACAGGGUUUCAGGUAGGGUCUCUCAGAGCACUUUCUGGAGAUAUUGGGGAUUGAACCUGGGUCCUUCUGCAUGCCAAGCAGAUGUUCUUCCGCUCAACUACAACCCUUCCCUCACAGAGUGAUGGGCUUUCCCCAAAAGGCCAAUGGUCAAAGCUUAACUUUGUUGUUGUAUAGUUGUUCAGUCAUGUCCGACUCUUCAUGACCCCAUGGACCAGAGCACGCCAGGCACUCCUGUCUUCCACUGCCUCCCGCAGUUUGGUCAAACUCAUGU